RNAcentral lists this ribosomal RNA (253 nucleotides) under uncultured bacterium. RNAcentral's name for it is "partial 16S ribosomal RNA". It matches the Rfam family "Bacterial small subunit ribosomal RNA", at positions 524 to 776 of the family's 1533-position model. The record is from RNAcentral.
UACGGGGGGGGCAAGCGUUGUUCGGAAUUAUUGGGCGUAAAGAGCUUGUAGGCGGUUUGGCGCGUCUGCCGUGAAAAUCCGGGGCUCAACCCCGGACUUGCGGUGGGUACGGGCAGACUAGAGUGUGGUAGGGGAGACUGGAAUUCCUGGUGUAGCGGUGAAAUGCGCAGAUAUCAGGAGGAACACCGAUGGCGAAGGCAGGUCUCUGGGCCACUACUGACGCUGAGAAGCGAAAGCGUGGGGAGCGAACAGG